GUAGGUGGCAAGCGUUGUCCGGAAUUAUUGGGCGUAAAUCGCGCGCAGGCGGUUUUUAAGUCUGAUGUGAAAGCCCACGGGCUCAACCGUGGAGGGUCAUUGGAAACUGGAGAACUUGAGUACAGAAGAGGAAAGCGGAAUUCCACGUGUAGCGGUGAAAUGCGUAGAGAUGUGGAGGAACACCAGUGGCGAAGGCGGCUUUCUGGUCUGUAACUGACGCUGAGGCGCGAAAGCGUGGGGAGCAAACAGGAUUAGAUACCCUGGUAGUCCACGCCGUAAACGAUGAGUGCUAAGUGUUAGGGGGUUUCCGCCCCUUAGUGCUGCAGCUAACGCAUUAAGCACUCCGCCUGGGGAGUACGGCCGCAAAGGCUG
Molecule: ribosomal RNA, 372 nt
Filed under: uncultured organism
Description: partial 16S ribosomal RNA
Rfam family: Bacterial small subunit ribosomal RNA
Source: RNAcentral